RNAcentral lists this ribosomal RNA (403 nucleotides) under uncultured bacterium. Its description in RNAcentral is "bacterial SSU rRNA". It matches the Rfam family "Bacterial small subunit ribosomal RNA", at positions 30 to 433 of the family's 1533-position model. The record is from RNAcentral.
AUUGAACGCUGGCGGCAUGCCUUACACAUGCAAGUCGAACGGCAGCACGGGAGCAAUCCUGGUGGCGAGUGGCGAACGGGUGAGUAAUAUAUCGGAACGUGCCCAGUCGUGGGGGAUAACGUAGCGAAAGCUACGCUAAUACCGCAUACGAUCUAUGGAUGAAAGCGGGGGAUCGCAAGACCUCGCGCGAUUGGAGCGGCCGAUAUCAGAUUAGGUAGUUGGUGGGGUAAAAGCCUACCAAGCCUUCGAUCUGUAGCUGGUCUGAGAGGACGACCAGCCACACUGGAACUGAGACACGGUCCAGACUCCUACGGGAGGCAGCAGUGGGGAAUUUUGGACAAUGGGCGCAAGCCUGAUCCAGCAAUGCCGCGUGCAGGAUGAAGGCCUUCGGUUGUAACGUAGC